Molecule: unclassified non-coding RNA, 4357 nt
Filed under: Centruroides sculpturatus (bark scorpion)
Lineage: Eukaryota; Metazoa; Arthropoda; Arachnida; Scorpiones; Buthidae
Description: palmitoyltransferase ZDHHC5-like, transcript variant X2
Source: RNAcentral
GAUGUAAAUGAUUAAAUGAAAUUAUGCAUAUUUUAUUCAAUUUUUAAUACAAAAUUUUAUUUUUUUUCCAGAUGUCCUUAUUUGACAAUUCAUUAUCAUAUUGCUGUACCUAUAUGUCAAGGAAUCAUAACCUUUUUUGUUAUAGCUAAUUUCACACUAGCCACAUUUACAGAUCCAGGAAUCAUCCCUAAAGCAACUCUAGAUGAAGAUAAGGAUGAUGAUUUUCGUACGCCACUUUAUAAAAAUGUAGAAAUUAAUGGAAUAUCUGUACGAAUGAAAUGGUGCGUCACUUGUCAGUUUUACCGCCCACCUCGAUGUUCUCAUUGCAGUAUUUGUAACAAUUGUAUUGAAACAUUUGAUCAUCACUGUCCAUGGGUUAACAAUUGCAUUGGCCGUCGCAACUAUCGAUAUUUCUUUCUCUUCCUUGUAUUCUUGAGCAUUCACAUGAUUUCUAUUUUCAGUUUAUGUAUAAUUUAUAUUUUGAAUCAUCAAGAAAAGCUCCAUCACAGAGACACUAUUAUAACUAUAGUAAUAGUUGUAAUCAUCACACUGCUAUUUAUCCCAAUUUUGGGUCUAACAGGUUUUCAUAUUGUUCUUGUAUCAAGAGGCAGAACUACUAAUGAGCAAGUUACUGGAAAAUUUCGAGGAGGAUAUAAUCCAUUUUCACGUGGUUGUUGUGGAAAUGUUUGCCAUGCAUUAUGCGGUCCACAGUAUCCAAGGUAUAAAGGAAGAAAAAAGUCCUUGAAAAAUUUAUCAGUACCAGCUCCUUCUGUUUCAGCACGGAUGACAGAGAAUCAAGUUAAAAUUUACAUGGAUAACAGCAAUGUUUCCAGAAAUACAAGUGGAAAUUCAUAUAAUAAAAUGCUAGGGAUAACUGAUUCUGUUGAUGUGGACAUUACAAUGGAUUCAUUUGAAAUUACUCAAAGUCAGUCGUGUGAUUGUGAGCCUUCUCCUCCCAUUCCACGUCAUGGAUCAAAAACAAAUUUUUUUACUCCAGGAAUGCAAGAGACUGCGCUCUCUAGUCCCGCACGGGCAAAUCACGUUUUUCAGCAAGGUAAGCCGUGGUCUCCUUAUGGUAGCGCUGGCCCUCCGACGCCGAGAGCUCCCCGUGCCAUAUUAAGUGUGGAGGAUCGAGCGGUACAGUCGGCAUUACCUAGGACUCCCGAAAAUAGCCAGCCCAUUUGGCCAAAUAUUAAUAGUCCUCGUCUGCCUCGUACUCCUCCGAGAAGUUUGACCAGUCCAACUGUUAGCAGCAGUGCUAUCAUGGGUGUUUCUUAUAAUCAGUACUCGCCGGGAAGAAGAUCGAGUCCGGGAUCGCCAACGGCAGUUACUCCCGGGCAGUCUCCAGCGACAAGCAAACGCCACAAUAAUUCUGGUCUAGGAGGACUGUCGAGCAUUGGAAGAACAUAUGGUGGUCCAAUGCCAUAUUACACUCACAUAGGAAUGAGAGGUAGAACUAAUUCUCGAAGCAUGAGUCCUAAUCGUAAGUUUGCUUCAGAAAGUGAACUUGUCAGAGCAGCUGCAGACAAAGCAAAUGGGAAUUAUGAUUCUAGAGUGAUUGCAAAUCAGACUGCAGAUAAUAUUCAAGAAUUAGCAAACCGGACCGGAAUAUCCUGUCAUUGGGCAGAUCAUUCUUCUGGCAGUAGUCAUCACAGGGUUCGUCGCAAUUCACGUAGUGAACAGCACGGUUCUGGUUCUCACACGCCACCAUCUCAUUCUCUAGGAUAUCAUGCCAUCCACGGUCUGCCACCGGCAGGCAUUCACGGAGGACCUUACGGCCGCCGUCACAGUGGCAGUGCCUCUCCACAGUCCAAACGUAACAUGGUGGGACAUGCGACUCCACCAUUGGAUAUGUCACCCGCGGGUUCUCGUCCUCAUGCAAAAAGGCCAAUGUCUUUUGUAAAAGCCUUAGAAAUGUCAGACUCUAUGGAGAAGGCUGCGGCGGGAGCAGGAACUCCCAAAAUCGAACAUCGUCAGUCAAAAUCAUCAAACCCUCCUUCGUCAACCAUACAAGAAUUACAAGACGGCAAUGCCGACAGAAGGAGUUUAUACGAAAUGAAUUACGAAAUCUCAGUUUAGUGAAAUUUAUUAUAGUUCAUUGGAUCCACUAGAUGAAUUUUUACCUCAAGUGCCAGCAGUUUUAUGAAUAGAAUUAUUAUAUGAAAAUAUCUCCAGAUGUUUUACUUGAGGAGAAACAUUGCCACAGCAAGAAAAGAAAAAAAUUAUCACUCAACAGUAGGACUGGAGUGAAAAAUAAAUUACUAGGAUUUUAAAUGGAAUUUACACUUAGCAUUCAAAAUCAUAAAGAGACUAAAACUUUGUAACUUAAAUCAUAGAUAUGAUUAUCUUUGUUUGAUUUUGCAAACAAGUAUCAUAAUAAAACUCACCAAAUAUUUUGCAAUAUUUAACAAGUUAAUUUAUGAUAUCUAACUUCUUCCAUUUUCUUACCUCAAUUUUUUUAUGCUAGUUUCACAAAGUUAAUGUUUUCCAUUGAUUUUUUUUCCUCUACCAAUACAAAUGCAAAAAUUUCUUACUUAAAAUGCAGCAUUGAGGAGAGAUGUUAAAAGAAAUGUGUGUGUUUGUAUACAGUCAACUUGACCAUUCUCAUCACUAUAAAUAUGUUCUGUUUCAAAUUUUUACCUUGUUAAAAUUCUAUUUAUUAAUUGUAUUAUCAUCAUUGUUGUUAUUAUUUUGAUCCUGUGCUUAGUUGAAUUAAGCCGAAAGUCAUUAAAUUGACGCAGUUACAAAUUUCAGGUUAUGUAAAUAUAUUGAAACAUUGUUGAUCAUCCGAUCAUAAAUUUGUUACAUGUAGUAGUUAAGUCUCAGCAGAGUAUUUGAUGGGAUCAUAAUGAUUUUGAAUGUCUGAUGUGUGUUACUGUAAAAGUGGCAAGAAUAAACUAAAUUUUCAUAAUUUUCAUGAAAAGUUUUUUUAUAGACAUUACAAAAUUUGUAUAUUCUGUAUGCAAUUAUGACAGAAUGUUGCACAACAGUAUAAUCCAAAGGUUUUUGCAUAAUUAUUGACUUAAAACAUUUGUUUCUAUUCAGAGGCUAAAUUUCAUGAGAAAUUUCAUUUAUCUGUUUGACAAAACAUAAAAAAUUGGGAAGUUAUAAGGUAAAUGUAGAAUUAAUACAACUUUUAAUGGGAGUGUUAAUAGUUAUAUUAAAUCUAUGAUUACUAUAUUAAAAGUUUCUUGCCUUAUUAUUUAAUUAUGAGGAAUUUUUUCCAACCUCCACUAACGCAUGAAAAAAAAAAAUUGGAAGUAUGUGGGGCAGGGUCAGGGUGCACACCUAGUGAGUAGUAUAUUCCCACCACUUAGCAUUGUGCCAAGCUAUUUUAAACAUUUGCUACCUGCAGUAAACAAGCAAACACGAUGCCGCCAAUCCAGUCUCCCGCUAACUGUGAAGUACAAGCAGUAAUUUGAUUUCUACAGUUUGAAGGGCCGAAUGGAGGUGAAAUUCAUCAAAGCAUGUGUAAUGUGUAUGGUGAGAACCAUGAGCUACAGAUGUAUGCAGGAAAUUCAAACAAGGACGUGACAACAUUUACGACGAGGGUGGUCAAGGGAGGAAGUGUGUGAUGACCAAUAAUUUGGUGGACAAAGUGGAUCAGUUGGUGCGAGACAGGCAUCAUUUCACAAUUUCUGAGCUCAGUGAGGAGUUUCCUCAAAUUUCAACAUCCACACUGUAUAUCGCUGACUGACAGUAUUAAAAGUUAGCCGAAUAGCUUGGUGGCAAUGUUCUUCAACAUGGGUAUACAAAAGCUGGUGUCACGGUAUGAUGUCUGCCCGAAUCGACAAGCCAAUUAUGUGGAAAAUAGGUGACGACUGUAACUACCUUCUACAAAUAAAGUGGUUUUGUUCUUCAUUCGGGUUUUCUUAUUCUGGGUCAGUGGAGGUUGAAAAAACCCUCGUACAAAAAGUACUUAGUUACUUAAGACUAAUGAACAGGCUUAACUAAAUUAGUUCAGUAAAAAAAACCUUAUGAAUAGACCUUGUGUCAUAAGAAUAGAAAAUUACCACAGUAUAAAGAAGACACAAUGACUAUUCACAAGGUUUUUACUGGACUUGUUUAGUAUUCUUAGGUUACUGUCCUAGUGAUAAUUUAGAAUUCCUAUUAAGAUGUGUGUAAUAAUUUGUAACAGUUGUACUUAUAUUGUAUUGUUGGCAAUUGUCACCAUAGACUGUUUUUUGUAUGUCAUCUAAUUGAUAAGGGCCCGUAAGGCCAAAAUGCAUUUUGGAUAAAUUAAUAAGUUGGCUGGGUGUGUAAUAAGCUUGUUCAUUAGUCAUAAGUAACUAAGUAGUUAGUGUAACUAUGAUUAAUACAUUAUACACACAUACAGUAAUAGUAGUGCAUUUGAAAA